CAGGGAUUGCUCUAGUAACGGCGAGUGAAGCAGCAAUAGCUCAAAUUUGAAAUCUGGCGUCUUCGACGUCCGAGUUGUAAUUUGUAGAGGAUGCUUCUGAGUAACCACCGACCUAAGUUCCUUGGAACAGGACGUCAUAGAGGGUGAGAAUCCCGUAUGCGGUCGGAAAGGUGCUCUAUACGUAGCUCCUUCGACGAGUCGAGUCGUUUGGGAAUGCAGCUCUAAAUGGGAGGUAAAUUUCUUCUAAAGCUAAAUAUUGGCCAGAGACCGAUAGCGCACAAGUAGAGUGAUCGAAAGAUGAAAAGCACUUUGGAAAGAGAGUUAAAAAGCACGUGAAAUUGUUAAAAGGGAAGGGAUUGCAACCAGACUUGCUCGCGGUGUUCCGCCGGUCUUCUGACCGGUCUACUCGCCGCGUUGCAGGCCAGCAUCGUCUGGUGCCGCUGGAUAAGACUUGAGGAAUGUAGCUCCCUCGGGAGUGUUAUAGCCUCUUGUGAUGCAGCGAGCGCCGGGCGAGGUCCGCGCUUCGGCUAGGAUGCUGGCGUAAUGGUCGUAAUCCGCCC
This 560-nucleotide ribosomal RNA is filed under the name uncultured fungus. Its description in RNAcentral is "eukaryotic LSU rRNA". It matches the Rfam family "Eukaryotic large subunit ribosomal RNA", at positions 69 to 650 of the family's 3401-position model. Lineage: Eukaryota; Fungi. The record is from RNAcentral.